UCUACUAAGUGUUGGAGCCUCGCUCAUAUCAGUCUGGAGAGAAUAGAUAACCUUCAAGAUUGCAAGUAGAAAAUCAAGAUGGCUUAUUCAUUCGUAUUUGAGGAACUCAGUUGAAGGAUGAUAAUCUAAGGAAUUCAUAGAAGGAACUGGGUGAAGAGAAUUUCGAAGAAUAGUAUGAGGACUGUGUCAUGUACAAGUUCAUAAAGUGGAGAUGUGGGAGAAGGAACCCAAAUUCAACCUAAAAUUAAGCAGAUGUGAAGUAAAUUCCAAGGAAGAUUGAAGAGUGCAACGAAAAAGGUAUAACCAUAAGGCAUAUGGGAAUGCUCAAGUUGUUAAGAGAUCAGAAGAUGUAUUAACAGAGAAAGUAUAAAUUCAUCAUACAAGAGUAAUUCGUUGGUAAAUCAAGUUUGGUAUAGGCGGGCUUGUUGAUUCCUCAGUUACUAGACAGAAGAAGGAAAUCAGAAAGUAAUAGAACAAGACUUGGAUAUGCGAAACUUCAGUGAGAUUGAGUCGUUCAGAAGUUUUUGAAGAGUAUCUAAGAUAGAUAAGAAGGGUAUGGAAUACUGUAAGGGAAAUCAUUCCUGGAAUAAGUGUGUGUGUGUGUGUAUUUGAGAGUGGCACCUUUGGUCUGAAUCAUGUUAGCGUGAUUGAUCGUGCAUGUUCUUGUUUGAUUGUUGCACGGUUAAUCAAGUUGACAUUGACCAGACUGAAGAUGUUACCUUCACGUAUGGCACAUCACCUGACGUUCCAUAUUUCCAUGUUAUUGAACUGGAGGAAAGCAGAUAGAAAGGUUUCAGAAGUAAUGGUAUUCAGAGAUUCAACGAUGUCAAAAGAAGUAUGUAGACCGCAGUAUAUGAAAGUUAUGUGCGAUGAAGAAUUGGUUAUCGUGAAAGUGUUUGCUCAGAAAAGAAAGAAUUGUUUUAGAAAAGUUGGGGAAAUCCGCAAAUCUGUUAUUUGGUAUGUACCGAGUUGUUCAGAGUUGAAAUGGUUAUCUGUUGCCCAGAACUUCUUUUAGUUAUGCUAUUGGUGAGCCAAUUUUGCGUAAUCUUAUAUCAGACCCAAUAUGAUAGAACUGCUGAGACCAGAAAACUUGUAACCCUAUUUAGCCUAUCCUAAAGGUCCUUUGCGGAUAGGUGAGCACCAUAUCGGAAGAUUGGAGAAAAGGAAAAAUUUGUAAAAGUUCAAGUAUUUGGGGAACCAUCAGUUGUUUUGACACGGGCAGAUGAGGAUAAUUUCAGAGUUGGUUAUCUUAAACUUCUUGCAGAGGUUCCAGUGUUCAGUAAAAGUUUGUACAGAUAUUUUUUGAGAAUUCGGGGACGAAUUCUUUUAAGGGGGGAAGAAUGUAAUAACCCUCACGAGCCAGUUAAUUUUUGGUCGAGAAACACUCCGCUCGACCAGUUUGGAGUUGGUCGAUCAGAUUUAAAAAUAAAGUCGACCCGGUGAAUUAAUACCUCGACGGGACUAUCUUGUGGUCGAAAGGCCUCUCAUUGAUAGUUCUGGUAGAGUGUUAAUAAUGUUGGUCGAAUUUUAUUUAAGCUAGGCAAGCUUAGUUGAAAGCAAGACGAGAUUCAAAGGAUGGGAAAUUUUAGUCGAAAACUGUCCGAAAUUGUCGUUAAGUUUCUUAACUAAAUUCCGACCAGUCUAAUACUUUCACCAGCUAUUCUUAUUGCUUUCUCAGUAAAUCAGUCACAUGAGCUGCACCUACCUGCUUGCUUGCUUCACUAAAGUCACAUGAAAGUCACAAGCUGGUUGCUUGUUUAAUAAAAACAAAAUAAUCUUUCUUCAAAGGAGGGAAAGGACAGCAACUUGCUUUGGUUUAAGUAAACCCUCACCUGAAGCAACUUCUUAUGUUAUAAAACACCAUCUUCUCUCCUCUGGACGUUCAUAACCUGCAAGAAAAACCAGAGAAAAAUUCAGAGAGAAAGAGAGAAAGAAGAGAGAAAUAUUUGUGAGAAAAACUAGUUGAAAAAUUCAGAAACAAAAUUCAGAGAAGAGAAUUGAGCAUGGACAAACCUUUCUCACCAUCCUGUGACUUUAUCCAGUGUGUACUGGUGUGGUUAAGAGCUGAAGGUUUGGUGUCCAAGAGUUUAGAAUCACCCAUAUUCUUCAGCCUUUGAUUUAGAUCGGUAAGAUGGUUGUGGAUCAGUUUCUUUGAGAAGUUUUGUUGGUUUGCCUACACUGGAGAUAAAUUCUGAAUAAAUCCAACCAUGGAUUCUUGUGGUGUUGUUCAGGUUAAUUCGUGGUUAGCUUGAAGAGAGACAACCAGUCAAGUUUAAUUAGUUGAGUAAAACCGGUAAGCUUCAGCUUCUUGAUUCAGCCAUGUUUUGAUGAGAACCAAUUGCUGUAUGUUGGUUAACCUGUCAGGAUCAGUUGUCUAAGGUCUUGUUAUCUUCAGUCUUGGUUGGUUUAUGAUUUAAUCACUCAUAGAACCAGUAGACGAACUGAUAAGAAUUAUGGGAAUUAAACCGAACUGAUUUGAUCUUGUUUAGAACUGAAAUGAGCUGAGUAUGUUCUGAUCUGAUCUGAGCCGAGCUGAACAUGGUAUCAAUCUGUCUUGAACCGAACUGAUAUGAGAGAACUGAACUGAAAUGUUAUGAACUGAGUUGAGUUUCUUCUUGAACCAGACUAGUGAACCUUAUGUUCCAACUGUUAUGUUUUGAAUUCAGAUGGCCAAGGAGAGUAUUCGGAUCAGCCGGAUCCUUGUGAUGGUUCUGAACCGAGAGUGAUCCAGAAGUGAAGUGUGAUUAGCUUGAGCUUGAGUCUAGUCUUCCUUAGCCAAUCUCAUGGAUUUAAAGGUGAGUCUAGAUAGAUGAUGAAUGAAUUAUGAAUGAAUAUGCAUGAUUGCAUAUUGAAUAUGGUUGAUUAAUUAAGAAUUAAUUAAGGGAUAAUCAUUGAUUAAUUAAGGAUUGAUCAUGGAUUAAUUAAGGAGUAAUUAUGGUUGAUUGAUUAAGUAUUAUCCCUUGAUCUAUAUUUAUAUAUGAAGUAUUUAUCUAGUUUAAAUACUUAAGAAUUAAUAAGAAUAAUUCUUUGAGGUUAUCCCGAGCCUUAGUACUUGUUCUCAAGUACUAAUCUAUAAGUAUUCUAUUAAUAAGUGUGAAUCAUGUGAAGUCUUAUUGUAUACUCACUCUCCCGAAAGUCCCGCAUUGCCGUGAAUUGGUCCUGCGAUAUGGAUCAAGGUCAUGAAGACACGAUGAUGGGGUCGCACCCUGGAGGCCGUGUAACUGCAUGCAGCGUUGGAUGUUCUAUCUUGGAAUAUCUGAUGGAGAUGAUGGUUAUAUUUAUUCCCCGUUAAGCUCGUUUAGCCUUGGUGGUUUUCCGGGUUUAGCAUAUAUAUAUAUAUUAAGAGUAUGAGUGAUUGGCGGAUAUCGUGGAGGUGAUGUUUAAGAUAGAUUCACAUAGAUGGAUUGAGAGGCCUUAUAAUUAUAUUAAUUAUGGAAUAUAAUUCCACUGCAUUCAAAUGGUGUCGCUUGCUCGGGAUACUAUUGAUAUGUGUUUGGGUGUGGGAUUACACUCACUGAGUAAACUAGUUACUCAUGACUCAUUUGAUAUGCAGGUAACCAGUAGGUGGGAGACCUUUACUCUAGGACGGGAAGAAACGGCAUUAGCCAGCGGUAGUUUUAUUAUCCUUGCAGUCGUUUUGAUAUACUUUAUGUAUAAGGUUUGUUGACUGAAAACCUCGAGGUUAAUCUAUAAUAUUUUGUAAGAUUCUUUUAAAUGAAUAAGUAUAUAGUGUAUAAAGAAUGUUUUUAAAGUACGGGUUCCAAAUGAUAUUAGUCCUUGUCCGGACGAACCAACUAUUUGGUAUUACUCUUAAGGUUGUAAAGCCUCCGGUUGUACCUAAUAGGAUAUGUGUACUUAGGCGGUUGGCCUAAGGUACCUGGAUUUAUUUCGGGAACUUCGGGUUAGUCGUUUAUGUACACAUUGUGGCUUCUCGGUUUGGUUUCAGUUACGAGUGAUCGGCUGUGCAUGUUCUUGUUUGAUUGUUGCACGGCUGGCCGAGUCAACUCAUACUUAGACCAGAUCGGGGGUGUCACAAAGAUGGUAUCAGAACAUGGUUAUACGAUGCUUGAAUGGGACUUGUUUCAAACGUUUUUCGAGUCAAAAUGAGUCGCAAGGAUAAUUAGGAUGUGCUGGCUGGUUCCUUCCUCUUAGGAUAGAUAGUCAUGGGUAGUUACCUUACUGUUAUCUUUCAUACGAGAUGCAUCAAGACAAGCUCGACGGAGUGGAGUGUACUUACCAAUUUUGAUUCUGUCAAGAUCGAGAUUCCUACAGUCAUGAUUGAGCUUUCUACCGUCAUGAUUCGGUUUUUAUCGUCAUGUUUUGGUUCAAUCCGGUCAUGCUUCAAUCCAUUAUCAUCAUGCUCGGGUGAGCUAACGACGUGCUCGGGUUUGCUACCAUCAUGCCCGGAGUUGGUAUCAUCAUGCUUUCCUGCGGUUCCUACAAUUUCUAGUGUGGAUAUCGAUAUUCAAAGAUAUAUGAGACAGAGUUGACACAUCUAUUACAUCUUCGGCCCGUGUUUUAUUGAAGUCAAAGUUGACGUUGUUGGUGAUGAUCCGGUUCAGAAUAUCCGACUUCAUAUGAUUUAUUCUUUCGGCUGCUCAUUUCAAUCCAGCUUCGUACAAGCCUGAUUGAUUCAGCACUUGUUUCAAGCUUAACGUUGGUGGUGGAGAUAGUUCAGUAGUAGUACAAGACGAUGGACGCACCAGCACCAUUCUGUUGCAACAAGACAUCUUGAAGUUUGUGAACAAGAUAAAGAAGUUGGGACAACACCGACAAGUACUAAACCAUUCGAUGUAGAUUUUGUAUAGAGGAAGAUUUCGAAUGCAACACUAGGAGCAGAACAACUAACGUGGCCCAUUGUUCAGAAGAUUGCAAGAACGAUAUGGAACCAUACAUCAUCAAGAAUGAUACAGUAAGUUGGUGAUUAAGCGUCAAGCAUCAUUUGGGAAAUGUUAGUACAAGUUAGGCGGAUUUCUUUCAAGAGUUCAAGAUGGAGUGUUUUCUACCCAAAACAUGGGACCGAUAUGGAGUUCGCACAGUGAGAUGUUUCCGCCAAGAGUUCAAAGUCAAGUUAAUCUGAUUCAUCCAUUAUGGUUUGGAGGAUGAGCUAAAGAUCAUGAAGAUGUACUAUUGUGACUUAGCCAAUAAUCUCAGAGUAACCCAAACUAUAAAGCUUAAGACGUUUGAGGAGUUUGUGGAGGAUCACAUGAAUUCUAUAGAAGCUGUUUUUACUGAAGAAGUUUACCAAGUCAUGCGGAUUAUUUAACUAUCAACCUAUUCAGAUAGAAGGUCAGUUUCAAGUAAUGAAUCAAGAAAGUCGAUGGAGAUAAUUUUUGUUGGACGUUUCAUCAGAUCAAGACUGAGGACCCUGAGUUGUUUUGGUUUUGGCUAGAAAGGAGAGUAAGGUGAUGAUUGUUCAAGUAUAUAAAAUCCUCGAUCGCUUACGUCAUUUGCGCUUCGGUGGUGCCAGUAAUGAGUACAGAGGUUAUCCUACCAUGGCCCAUGAAGUUACCCGAUCUUUUUACCUAUACCUAGGGUACCGCUUGUUAAACUUGUUCGCUUUCCUUACCAUUAGUCACUGAUUAAGUGUUUGGCUAUUUGGGUAGAGCCUACACUUUAUAGUUGCCUGGACCGUCAAAACCUCUGAAAAGGUCCAAUCACAGGUUUGCUUCUUAUCCCAUUGCGUGUUGUGUGCAUUUUAAAAAUUUAUGAAUGAUUAAAUAAAUAAGUGAAGGAGUGAUCAAGGUGUCGUAUGAGACCUUGCCUAUGGACGGAAUUUUCCGCCCAUAUUGUGUUUGAUGCGGGAACAACACAUAGAUGUAGUUCUCGGGUAGUGUCAUUGUUUUAGGAAGGAUUCACUUUAGUGAAUUCAAGUACACUGUUCUUAUUCGUGGAAGUACUGGCUGCCAUUUAGAGUUAUGGUAUGCCUUCGUAUCCCAUCCCCAUUCCUUAGUACUUCCAUUAGAGCGGUUUGUUUCUAUCUAGAGUGAGAUUGCCUAUCUAGUUAUCGAGCUCAAUUAGGAUGUUGUUGAGGAAGGAAGUCUUUGAGAGAUGACCAGUUACCGUUGGCCUGCAGCCGUAUUCUACUAAGUGUUGGAGCCUCGCUCAUAUCAGUCUGGAGAGAAUAGAUAACCUUCAAGAUUGCAAGUAGAAAAUCAAGAUGGAUUAUUCAUUCGUAUUUGAGGAACUCAGUUGAAGGAUGAGAAUCUAAGGAAUUCAUAGAAGGAACUGGGUGAAGAGAAUUUCGAAGAAUAGUAUGAGGACUGGGUCAUGUACAAGUUCAUAAAGUGGAGAUGUGGGAGAAGGAACCCAAA
This 6314-nucleotide long non-coding RNA is filed under the name Brassica napus (rape). Its description in RNAcentral is "long non-coding RNA (BNAP_LNC023928)". Lineage: Eukaryota; Viridiplantae; Streptophyta; Magnoliopsida; Brassicales; Brassicaceae. The record is from RNAcentral.